AUGCUACACAAGGAGUGAGGAUCAACUUGCGGAUGUGUUCACCAAGGCUGCAAGACAAAAGACUAUGGAGUCCAUUCAUACAAUAUUGGGACUCAUAGAUCUUUCCUCAAGGAGCUGAUCCCCUUUGCCAUGAGGUCUUUACUCUUUUUCCCUCAUCAAGGUUUUGUCCCAAUGGGUUUUCCUUGGUGAGGUUUUUAAUGAGGAAGAUCUCAUGGCUGUUCCAAGUUUGAAUGGAUUCUAGAAUUCAAGCUUGAGGGGGAGUGUUGAAAUGAGUUGAGUAUAAGCAAGGGAAGUGAUGGGGUAUAAGGAAGCAUUAUGAGAAGGAUGUGUUAAGGAAGGGAUGAGGUAUAAGGUCGACCAGUCCGUACAAUCCGUACUGACCGUACUGGCCGUACAGGCCGUACCUUCUCGGGUCGACCCAUCAUCAACCAAAACUUACCAUCCUUACCCAAGUUACUUUGGAGAGUUACCUUGAGUGUUAAUGAGUCUUGUGACCGUUGAAGGGAAGAAAGGAGACGCGGAGAAGACAGGCUGGCAUAGCUGUAAAGUGAUCAGCAUCUUGGAAUAUGCUGAAAGUGUGUGAAGCACUCCAUUGGCUAGUUCAAACCAUCCGCUCCCUUUAGCUUUGACUACACAUGCUUUGCCUUAUCUCUUAUGCUGAAACCCUAGUCUUUCCUUAGCUAUAUAUUGUAAACUCUGCCUUGAUUAAUGAUUAACACGAGUUUAUGAGUCUCUCUCUCUAGUUCAUCAUGAUAAUCUCAUACACUUUCUCCUAAACACUCUAAUCUCUCUUGAAUCUCUCUUAGACUUCUCAAUACCUUUCAUAUUCUCUAAAGUCAUAGUAGAAUCACCAGGAAGUUGAAUAAAUCUCAUAGGAGUUGGGAUGAAGAAGUUAUCCCACUUUCUAAUCAGGUGAAUCCAGUUUCCCAGUUUGGGAAUAGGACAGCUUCUCCGUCGUUCCUAUCAAACCAGGAUCAAUUACUUUGUAAGAAGCUUGAUUUGGAUACAUAAAGUGUUGGAGAAUCACCAGGAAGUUGAAUAAAUCUCAUAGGAGU
This is a long non-coding RNA of Brassica rapa (field mustard), 1055 nucleotides long. RefSeq lists it as uncharacterized. Lineage: Eukaryota; Viridiplantae; Streptophyta; Magnoliopsida; Brassicales; Brassicaceae. The record is from RefSeq and is a predicted model, not a curated record.